AUACGAACUGUGCAAACGUUAUUCGGAAUCACUGGGCUUAAAGGGUGCGUAGGCGGACUUGAAGGUCCGAUGUGAAAUCCCACGGCUCAACCGUGGAAUUGCGUCGGAAACCACAAGUCUUGAGGGAGUCAGAGGUAAGCGGAACUGAUGGUGGAGCGGUGGAAUGCGUUGAUAUCAUCAGGAACACCGGUGGCGAAAGCGGCUUACUGGGACUUUUCUGACGCUGAGGCACGAAAGCUAGGGGAGCGAACGGGAUUAGAUACCCUAGUAGUCC
Molecule: ribosomal RNA, 274 nt
Filed under: uncultured bacterium
Lineage: Bacteria
Description: partial 16S ribosomal RNA
Rfam family: Bacterial small subunit ribosomal RNA
Source: RNAcentral